Lolium rigidum is the source of this 4257-nucleotide long non-coding RNA. RefSeq lists it as uncharacterized. Lineage: Eukaryota; Viridiplantae; Streptophyta; Magnoliopsida; Poales; Poaceae. The transcript is spliced from 2 exons. The record is from RefSeq and is a predicted model, not a curated record.
CGGCGUGCGAGUCUGCCCGCUGCGGCUGCCUCGAUCCUGUACGCUGUCGGCCUCAUUUUGUCAUCGUUGAUGCAGUGUAUUUAUCAAAUUUCAUUCCUCUUGUUAGAUCUAGCUGCUACAGACACACAUCAACCAUAGGACAGAUGAGCCGGUGGAAGGUAAUGAUACCGUUGCUAGAUCGAGCUGCUCCUCGCCUCCUCCCCCUUCUGUGACUUACCUACCCCUCCUGAUAUUGCUUACUCCAUAUUAGAUUUCUCGUCGCUCUCUGUUGCUUGCUUAUAUCACAUCUAUCCCUCUCCCGUGUUUGUAUGGAGUAGUAGCAAAUCUUGUUUUGUGCGUGCUAAUUGCUAAGCUUUUGGGUCAAGUAGUAAUUUCAGACCAUAUAUACUUCACGUGUAUUAGAUUAUUUUUACAGCAAUUGCUGAAGAUGCACAAGUAUUACUCUGCCAUUCAUAUAUUUAGGGGGCAGUUUACUUGUACAGGUAUUUGUAGCCUUUUCAUUCUUUGCAAUCGGCCUGGAUUUAAGGUGACGUUUGAAUCUCUUUUCAUGUACCAGGUAUUCACAAACUAAUGUAAUAGAGGAUUGUUCUACAACUUCUUUUUUUCGCCGGUUUUGAUUCAUACAAUGAUUUUAAUUUUUAAAGACCAGUGGCUGCAGGGUUACUGUCAGCUAAUAAAUUUGAUUCAUACAAUGAGGAUAAAGACCAGUGGUUGUGGGGUUACUGUGGUACGGUAUUUGCAACAUGAAACUGGAUUGAUGAACUACUUAUUUUGUUCCUGAUGUGAUAUAAUAUUGGGUGUGUGAAGGCUGAUAGUUUGCUUGUUUGUUUGAUAAAUUUGGUUGUAUCCUUCAUUAGAUGGUUCUUGAAUUGUUAUCGGACAAUGAUUACUAUAGUGUCAUACUACAAUUAAAUAUAUUCAGUUCACCGGUCCAGUACAGCCUUACAGAAGAUAAUGUGAACAUAUAGCAUGCAAGUGGUUAGGCUAAGUGCAAGUGGGUAUCUGUAAGAGAUAGGAAUUAUAUAAGGAGAAUAGUGGGAAGGGUGUCUACUGAUCCUAUCCAGAAUAACCUUUCUGAACUAUAUGUGCCUUGAUGCACUUCUGCACGCCUUCAAUUUUUGGGCCCUCGGCGAGCUUCUUCCUACUUUCAAGGAAGCAAGGAAUUUGGUAGCAAGUAUGUAGCUUACUAUAGUGGGUUUCAUCUUUAGCUCUAAUCAGUCUCCCGGAUGACCUUUUUUCUGUGUAAUUUCUUCUUGCUUCAUGUUGUACUAUAUCUGGGUAGGUGUAUGUUGUUAGGUUAGUUAAAUUCUAUUACUAUUCAGCAAUGGCAUGUCUAAUUUUUAACACUCAAAACCUGAACAUGCCUCAUAAUUUUUUUGCUUGCUUGUUUGAAGACGAUAGUUUGAGUGGUAAUCCUCUCUUCAUGACCAGUGGGUACAUUUUUAGUGCAUGUCUCUACUUUUGGUGUUUCCACUCUAUAAUAUUACAGAAAAUGACUCUUAUUAUCCUUUCCGUUUUAGUGGUGUCACUGCUUCGUAGAUGUUUCUCUUGGAGAGAAAGCACAUGGCAUGUUUCAAGAUUCACUUGUUACCAAAUGCAGUGUUCCAGAAAAAGCUGGACUUUCGGUUUGACUUCUAUCUUUCUGUUCAUACUUUAGUAGCGUGCUAUACAUUUGCAUGUAUUUUCUUUCUCAUGUACUUAUGAAGGCAUACAUAUGAUAUGUAUGUUCUAAAUGAGCAUAAGCAUCCAAAUUUAUGUGGAUAGAAUUGCUCAUUUAUCUUACUUUUCCCUAUGACAUGAUUUCCGCAAGGAAGACGUUGAUGCAGUCAGGUACUUGGUUUCUUAGUCCGCCUCUAUUAUCUCGAUAAGCACAUUUUUCUAUUAUGCCUCCGUUUUUCUCUGCGCGUCAUUUUAGUUAGCUUUUGUAAGGUUCACUGUAAUCUCAUACAUUAUAUGGCCAAGGCGUUGUCUUCGUUUCCUAUGCUCAUUUGUAGAUCAAGGUGUGCAGGCGUGAUCUACAGUAUCUUGAUGUUCAUUCUAAAUCUUGAAUAGUGGGUAAUUAAGAAAUGGCAUCAACUCUUGAGAGAUAACAUGAUUUCUCUUGAUUUUAUAUUAUGGUUCUUAGAAUGUCAAGGAGUAUACACUAUUUUCUUGUGUUAGCAAUGAUUGCUUAUAUGAUUUACACAUCUUUCAGGAAUUAUUGCAAGGCCUAGCGAUGGAAGCCUGGAGGAGGAUUUGGUAAAUUGCAGAGGCAUCGGAGGCUUCUCUGUAGUGCUUUAUAAGUUCAUGGAACCUGUGGAAAAAUGGCUUGGGUAUUUUCAAAUUGCCAGCUACUCUUGACUUCUCUGUAGUGCUUUAUCUUGGCCGAGACCACUUGGUUCAGUUUAUUCAGUUGAAAAUGGCUUGGGUGUGGUAUAGGUUAUCAAAUCAUUGCGCUACCACUGAAUCAUUUGUAGCAUGAACUCAUGAUAAAUCAUGUUAAUCUCACAGUUCUCAUACUAUUGUACUUUAGAGCUGAGCAUCUUCAACAUUGUGCAUGAGGUACAAAGUGUGUUUCUUCUGUUGCUAUGCCUGAGCAGUGAGAACAAUAUAUUUCGGCAUCUUGGGAUAGUUCCCUUUGGCAAUGGAAUGCUGAAACAGGGAAACAAACAUGGAAUAUGGUAUGCAUACUAUUUCUUGUUAAUCAUUUAAAGAAAUAACUACCUUUUCCAUUCCUAAAGAUUUGCACAUGUACAUUUAUGUGCUGAUUUUCUUUUAUCACUCAGUUUUGCCUCUUGUCCAAGUCCCUGCUUAUUCAUUGACUAAUUUGUACAUUGUACAGAAAAUAUUUUUUCUAGCAAUCAUAGAACGGGGAGGCUCUGGUUUAUAAACCUAAUCUACUGCUGAAGAAAAUGAUCACAUAAUGUACCUUUUUGACAGUAUUUUUGUUAAGAGCUUGCAUUAGUCCUAUGCUUACAUCUCAUUAUCCUUUAGAUCUUCUUUUUGUUUUUACUUCCUUGAAGGGAUUAAGUGAUCCUUAUCAUUACCUUCUCGUUGCCAUUGUUACUUUCCGUUGGUGUCAACAGGUUAAAAAUACCAGUACUGCUACUUCUAGCCAUAGCACGACUAAACAGAAAUGCAGCUUUAAAUAGGUAUGGUGCAUGCUAUGAUCUGAUGCUGGUUAGGGAAUAUCAUGGUCAAUUAUCCAUGCAUGUUAGGGAAUAUGGAGGAGUAUGCACUGUCUUGUUCGGGUACAUCACAUAUACAUACUUCACCUAGCCUCCUUUUAAGCUUGGCUGAUUCCUCAUUGAGAUAUUCUGGAACAUAAGAACAACCAGAUACUUGCGAUCUCUCAUUAUCUUAGCCAGUGCUUCUAUCGACUUUUCCAAUGGUUAACUUUAUUUUUUACCUACGGGCUUGUUCGGAAUGUGGAGUGUAGGUCGCAGAUUGCCCUGCCGAAGGACAAUUUAUACAAGAGUAAAACUUAUUAACAGCUUUCUAUGCCUAACUAGGUUUGACUGGACUACCUGCAUGCUGGCAGUAGAAUCCAUGGAGAACAAAAUAAUUAUUUUAUAUUUGUUGUAAUGUGCAUAUUUUAGUAAAACUAGCCGUGAAUGAGGAGAAUAACGUUUGUGUAUGCUCUCUGUUAUGUGUCAUGCAUUUUUAUUUUUAGUAAAACUAGCCAUGAAGGAGGAGAAUUCUUAUUCUGCAAGUAAUACUCGUUGUUAGGUUGAAAUGAUGAUAUUUGCAUGUCGAUCAAAGGCUUAGAAAUGUAGUUGACUAGGUUUAGUUUUCACAGAGAUAAUCCCAUCCUAACAUGUCUCGACUGGUGCAUAUUUCACAGACGAAGGGAACUGGCAGGGGCAGCAGCAUUGUGCAGCAGCUGACUAGUCUCGUUGUGCACCGGUGCAUGGAGGUGGAGGUGGUCCUUAGGGUGGUGAUGACUGACGAGCAAGGAGGAAGGGAGUGAGGUGGUGGAGGCGAGGGCGGUGGUGCUGGUCGAUUGUGCCUGCCUGUCGCCACCUGGUCUGAGUGGCACAGCGGCCGUGCUAUGCAAGCACCAUAGGUACUGAACUAAUGAUCAAUACUUGGAUUCAGCCUAUUCAAAAUUGGAGGCCGGAAGUGCCAUGAAAGUUUUUGCUCGGUCUCUCCUCCGACGCUUGCAACCCAUACCAGUUGUCCAGUUCUACUAAUUUUAGGUUUGUAUCUGGCAGUUCGAAACAAAGGUCGAUUCCCUGUAAACAUAUUAACACAUGAAAUUUAUCCUUUAUGGCUUCC